GAUGAACGCUGGCGGCGUGCUUAACACAUGCAAGUCGAACGGAAAGGCCCUGCUUUUGUGGGGUGCUCGAGUGGCGAACGGGUGAGUAACACGUGAGUAACCUGCCCUUGUCUUUGGGAUAACUUCAGGAAACUGGGGCUAAUACCGGAUAGGAGCUCCUGCUGCAUGGUGGGGGUUGGAAAGUUUCGGCGGUUGGGGAUGGACUCGCGGCUUAUCAGCUUGUUGGUGGGGUAGUGGCUUACCAAGGCUUUGACGGGUAGCCGGCCUGAGAGGGUGACCGGCCACAUUGGGACUACGGUACGGACCAGACUGCAACGGGAGGCAGCAGUGGGGAAUAUUGCACAAUGAGCGGACGCCUGAUACAGCAGCGCCGGGUGCGGGAUGACGGCCUUCGGGUUGUGAACCGCUUUCGCCUGUGACGAAGCGUGAGUGACGGUAAUGGGUAAAGAAGCACCGGCUAACUACGUG
RNAcentral lists this ribosomal RNA (468 nucleotides) under uncultured bacterium. RNAcentral describes it as "partial 16S ribosomal RNA". It matches the Rfam family "Bacterial small subunit ribosomal RNA", at positions 28 to 507 of the family's 1533-position model. The record is from RNAcentral.